AUCUACGGCCAUACCGCCCUGAAUGCGCCGGAUCUUGUCUGAUCUCGGAAGCUAAGCAGGGUCGGGCCUGGUUAGUACUUGGAUGGGAGAAACGUGCUCAGCGAGAGA
Molecule: ribosomal RNA, 108 nt
Filed under: Neogale vison (American mink)
Lineage: Eukaryota; Metazoa; Chordata; Mammalia; Carnivora; Mustelidae
Source: RNAcentral